GGAGGACUUCGCUGAAGCAACGCUUAUGUUUGAGUGGAACUCCCUGAGCCUCCUGAGAAACACUCCCCUGAGAUCUGAGAACUACUCACCUGAGACCAUCUGCACGCUGCCUGUCUGCCUCCUCCACAAACCUGUAAAUAUUCACCUGUACACCUGCACCUGUAAAUACACCUGGAACCUCACCUUCAGAGCUGAAGACUCUGCACCCACCUAUCCCGACCCCAUCCUUCCCUGGUUUAAAUAA
Nematolebias whitei (Rio pearlfish) is the source of this 244-nucleotide long non-coding RNA. RefSeq lists it as uncharacterized. The transcript is spliced from 3 exons. The record is from RefSeq and is a predicted model, not a curated record. NCBI's taxonomy places the organism in Eukaryota, Metazoa, Chordata, Actinopteri, Cyprinodontiformes, Rivulidae.